RNAcentral lists this long non-coding RNA (1435 nucleotides) under Macaca fascicularis (crab-eating macaque). RNAcentral describes it as "lncRNA (ENSMFAG00000052397.1)". Lineage: Eukaryota; Metazoa; Chordata; Mammalia; Primates; Cercopithecidae. The record is from RNAcentral.
CACAUGAGUUAGGAAGGCUUCCUGGAGGAGUGUGGCCUGGCAAGGCCUUGAAGGAUGAUUUAGACAGCCUUGGUGGAUGAAGAAAGGAGGGGCUGUACAGUGGGUGUGUUUCUCAGGAUGUGAUGGGCCUGGAGAUGGGGACCUGGGUAGAGGGUGAGGUAGGAGGGGGAAGAUAGCUAGGUAAGGAGGAUGACUCCAGGUACUGUGCCUGGGCAAGCCCAGUCAGCCUUUUCCCAGAAGCUCCCUUUCCUCUUAUGCACCUACCCACCCUGCCCACCCAUCCGUUCAUCUGUCCAUCCACAUACACAUCCACCUAUCCAUCCAGCUAUCCAUCCAUCUACCCAUUCCCACAUAUCCAUCCAUUCAUCCAUCCAUCCAUCCAUCCAUCCAUCCAUCCAUCCACUCAUCCAAUUAUCUACCUAUUCACACAGCCAUCUGCCCAUCCAUCCAUCCAUUUACCUAUCUAUACACUUAUCUACCCCUCCAUUCAAGCUACUAAUAUCUGUUGAGCAUCCACUUAUGAGCCAAGGCCUGUACUAGAAUAUUCUCACUGACCUUUGGGCAUACAGGCCUGGCUCAUAGUAGGCUCAAUAAAUAUUUGUUUAAAUAUAUGGAGAAGUGGUAAUCAGAGGUGACCUAUCUCUAUCUUCAAGGAGCUUAUCAUCAUGCAGAACAAAACAUGUAAAAUUAUCAAUUGUGAUAAGUGUUAUGAAGGAAAAGACCUGGGUGCCAAGAGAAGCAAGGAGGAGGUAAAAACUAAGGGCUCUUACGUUGCUGUGUGAUCCUGGACAAGUAACUUGACCUUGCUAUGCCUCAGUUUCUGCAUCUAUAUAAUGGGAAUAAUGAUAGUACCUUAUAGGGAUGUCCAUUAAGUUUUUUGCAAUUAUCAAAAUCAGAAAGUUUUAAUAUUAACACAACUUUCUAGUCCACCAUGCACAUUUAGUUUCAGUUGUCCCAAUAAUGUCUUUUUCUUACUAACUUUAUUGAGAUAUAAUAACAUACCAUACAAUUUGCUCACUUAAAGUAUACAAUUCAAAGGUUUUAGUGCAUAGGUAUGUGCAACCAUCACCACUGUCAACUUUAGAAUAUUUUCACCACUCCAGAAAGAAAUCUUGCAUGCUUUAGCUACCACCCACUUUCUUCUCUCCACCCUCUCCCCUGCACCAGCCCUAGAAAGCCACCAAUAUGCUUCUCAUCUCUAUAGAUUGCCCUGUUCUGGAUAUUUUAUAUACAUGAAAUCCUACAAUAUAUGGUUUUUUGUUACUGUCUUAACAUAAUGUUUUCAAGGUUCACUUGUGUUAUAGUAUGUAUCAAUACUUCAUUCCUUUUUUUUUUUACCUUAAAAAAAACUUUUAGGAUUUUUAGAACAAUUUUAGGUUUCUAGCAAAAUUGAGUGGAAAGCACAAAGGGUUCCCAUAUACCACUUCCUCUCCCC